GGGAAGAAACAUAAUUAUGUGAUGAGAGAAAGAAGCUUCACAUCACCAACAUAUAUGUCAAAGGGACAAAGCUAGCACUGAUCACACAUAACAUGCACUAUAUCUUACAAGUACGAUACUGAACAAAUAUCAGGUUGCAAGAUCUUAUCAAAUCUGAAUAUUACAUGUACUACACGUCUCAAAUUUCAGAAAAUUCAGAGAUUAGAGGGAGAAAGAGAGAUAGCAGCAGCAAGAUUGAGGAGAGAGCAUCAACAAAGGGAGGUUGAGAGAGAGAUUCAGCAGAGGGUGUUGGAGAAGGAGAAGCAGCAGGGGGUGUAGCAAUAGAGAAGCAGCAAGGGGGCGCUGAGAGAAGAAGAGGCGCAAGGAGAGAGGUUGAGAGCAGCAGCAGCGGCAGGUAGAAGAAGUUGAGCGGAGGAGGAGCAGCAGUAGGGACGAGGGGAGGAGCAGCAGCGAAGGGGUUGAGAGAGAGAGAGAGACAGCAGGAGGUUGGAGUUCGGAGCAGCAGCAGCGUGGAGAGUUGAGAGAGCAGCAGCAGAGAAAUAGAAGAAGGAGCAGUAGCUUGGGCGCAAGAAGAGCAGCAGGGCGCAUAGGAAGAAGGAGCAGCAGCAGGUUGCAUGGAAGAAGGAGCAGCAGCAGGGGACGUUGAGAGAGAAGAGGAGCAAGAUCGGGGCAGCAAGGAGGAGAGAGGCGCUUGGUGCUGAUGGCGGCAGUGGCUGGAGAUGGUGGCGCUAGUGGAGUGGUGGAUGGAGGCUGCUGGUGGUGGGUAUGCUGGUGGAUGGAUGGGUGACGGAGGCGCACCACCACGUCGGCCUGGCCAUGGCGGCGGCCGGAGUUGGAUAAGGAGGGGUGAGGGAGAGAGAGAUGUGCCAGGCCCGAUUGGAUCCCUCCAGCGCCUAGGGAUUUUGUUCCCCUCCUCUCAUCUGCACUUUGUGAUUUGGCCCUCUUACUUCUCUUCUUUCUUCACAAGAAGAUCCUCCCACUUCUUCAGCUUGCCCCUGGUAACUUCUUUUCUUCUCUCUCGGGUCCUUGACUCCAUCACUUGAUCUUUUGUAGUAGAAGGAUUUUGUGCCUUGUCACACUUUUCUGCAAAAUAAACAAGUGACUAGUCAACAAUCCUUUUAUAUGAUUUUCAUUCAAUUAUUCCAUAUUUAAAACAAGAAUUGGUGGUCAGAACUCAACAAAUGGUAUAUUUGUAUGCCAAAAUUAUGUAUAAGAAAUGUGCUUAUCAAGUUCCCCCACACCUAAAUCUUUACUUGUCCUCAAGUAAAGGCAUAUGACAAGGGCAAGAUGGUGAAUAGUGACCUGACUAGAGAACGCCAAGUGAAGUAGAUCUCCAAACUAUGCAUGCUUUGGACUUAGUUAGUGAGAAUCAAUGGUUAAAAGUGUUACAAAGCAGUAGGAUACUAGUAGACUCAAUCAUUUUAAAAUUCUACAAUGGUAAAAGAAGAUCAACAAGUUCAAAUGAUGAUUGUGCCAAAUGGUUCCUAAAGAGAGCAUGAUCCCAAGAACAAAGCUUGUGAUCAAAUCACUUAUUUACAGAAAUAAAGCAAUGAUAUUAUUAUUACUAGCAAAAAGGCUCAUGCGUUGCAACGGGAGAAAAAAAUCCUCUCAUAUCUCUAGCUGGGUCAGUUGGACAAACUGUGUGUGGCCGGUUCGCAGGUUACGAGAUCGAACCUGUCAUCGGCAAUUCUAUUUUGUGCCAGCUCUCGGACCUGGGCCUCAGUGCGUCGCCAGGUGGGCAUUCUCCGUUGGGCCAAAACGGGUGGCAAGUAACGAAACCAAAUAGCGUACGUGAAAUUAAUUGAAGCGGGACCAAACGAAGCGGGACGAAACCAAGAAUAUCACCUCCCUUUAAUAGUAAAUUAGUCUCACCAAAGGAACAUACCACCGAUCCCGAGAACAUGGUAUACACCCGGCUCAACUAAUUAUUAGUUUUAGUUUUGUUUGUCUCCCCAAAGGAACAUACCACCGAUCCAGAGAACAUGGUAUACACCUGGUUCGACAAUUACAAUGUUUUUAAUAUAAUUAACUCUUAUCCAAUCCAACCAUAUUUCACAAGCCACCGAUCCAGGGAACAUGACAUGCUACUGUUAGGUAAGAUCAGAUAAUUAUUCAUUAUAAGAUUUUUUUUAAUGAACAACACAUAAGCACAAAAAACAGGAAUCCUCACUUCUCCAUGUCUGGUUCACAUGCUACCGAUCCAGGGAACAUAGCAUGCUAAUCCAUAGUGGUUAGGUGAUUGCUCUAAAUGGGAACACACUUGGCACAAAUUCGGCAUCUAAACAUGGUAAUCUAGGUGUAUCAUAGUAAAUGCAGAAAAUGACAUAGUUUACUAGUGCACUAGGGAUUUGAGCACUCAAAACUAAUAGUUCUCACUAAUUUCAGCAAAGCACGCAUGGUGUAGAUCACUAGUUUACAAGGCAUUCAACAAUCAGUUCGCAUAUUCUCAUCAAGCACCAUAUGUCAAAGGUGAAAUUCAGUGGGACAACAUUUAAGAAAUGGCACAAGCAACCCAAAUAAAAAUUUAAUUCAGCAAGCAUCAAUGGAUGAUGAUUUCAAAAUGGGUCAUGAAACAGCUCACCAGGCUUUGAUGAUGUAGCACUCGCUCGAUCACCUCACCAACUGCAGCUCCUCUCCUUUUGCUUCCUCAUACAUGCUCCAGCUUCACUCUUCCUCAUGUGUGCACAUUGCUUCUCCUCAUCACCAUGCCGUGAAUCCACCAGGAUCCCAUGGGAUGUCAUCUCGAACUUGGUCAGCCCGCAAUGAAUGGUGCACAAGCGUAAACCUGAAAGAACACUCAACAAACAAGCCAAAACAAGUGAUAGGGACAAUGCCCUCCAAGUCAUCAAUAGAGUAUCCUAUCACAUAAGCAUAUCUAUUGAGCAUAUCAUACACAUGUAUCAUCAAUUCACUUGGUGCAUAGGUAAUAUCAACGAUAUGACAUAACUUGUCGAGAAAGCUAAGAUAAUACCUGGGAUGAUCUGAGAGAAGUUUUAGGACUACCUUAGUUGAAGAUACUAUGGAAGGCAUGGUAGUAGAAACUUCCACCAGACUCGUGUCAACAAGUGAAAUAUUAGAGUUUGGCUUCUUGACAUCUAGAUCAACCUCAUCAUAAUCAACAAUGCAGGUUUCCAUCUCAGGCUCAAGUGUUGAGGAAUCAAUGUGGCUAAUGUCAUCAAAGGUGAACUUCUCCAUAUCUGGCUCUAGCAGCACAUGAUCAAUAUCAACUAAAGGUGACUCCUCAAUAUAAAAAACAACUAACUGCAGCUCUGGCUCAUCCAUGGAAGAAUCAUCACAAUGCAAAACUAAAUCUCCAACACUAGUAUCCAUAUGAUCUGAAGUGUGUGUGUCAACUAGGAUGGUGUCAUCAUCAUCAUCAAAGAUAAUCCAUGAAAGCUCAAUCUUGUUACACGGAGAAACUGGUUCCGACUUUUGUGUAAGAGAUUCUUGCUGAGAUGAAGUGAUUUGUUGCAAACAAGCAACUGAAUCAGAGAUGGGCUUCUCAUUGUACCACUGAAGUUGGUGGAAGGCUAUACUCUCAAUCAGCAGAAAAGCAUCAUCAAGUGUCUUGUUUGUAAUAGCUCCACCCGCUGCCAUAUCGAUGUAAGCUCGAGUGUCCGAAGUCAAUCCUCUAUAGAAUAUCUGCAACUCUAACCAUCUCUCGAGCCCGUGGUUAGGACAUCUCCUGAAUAAAACCUUGUAUCUCUCCCAAGCAUCAUACAAGCUCUCGUAUUCACGCUGAAUGAAAUUGAAGAUCUCAUCUCGAAUCACAGACUGCUUGUGUAGUGGGAAAUAUCUAUCCAAGAAAGCUCGUGAUAUCUCAUUCCAACUGUAUGACCUUGAUGGCAAGGAUCGAUACCAAGCAUGAGUAUCAUCACGGAGAGAGAAUGUGAACAACCUGCACAUGAUUGCAUCUUGAGGAACUCCAUGGUACUUGACUGUAUCUGAAUACUCCAUGACUCGGUGUAAGUGCUCAUAGGGAUCCUCAGUAGGCAGUCCUCCAAACUGUUGUUGUUGAACCAAAGCAAUAAGACUAGGUUUCAGCUCGAAGUUCUCUGCCUCAAUAGUUGGCCAAAUCGGUCCUGUGAUAUAGCACUGACUUUUGGGCAUCCAAAGAUCACGAAGCAAUGCCAUCUUAACCGAGUGUAACUAUACCUGCAAUUAGUUCAGAUUUCCUACAAACACUCAUAAACAGUAAACACUGGUCAGAAAGUUAGUAUCCUAAUAAGCCGAAGCAACAAAAAGUAAAAAGGUAAAAGAAGCACAGAAAUCAAUUUGAAUGGAAAUUUAAACAAAAACUAAACUAAGCCUAGUCUAUAGCUUCACACAAUCGUUCGACGCUAGUCCCCGGCAACGGCGCCAAAAUGAUCAAUCGAAAGUAUAGUGGGGUUUUUACGACCAAACUACGGAUGUCGUGUUCUCCACAGGGACUAGGCAAAUCGAUGAUCGUGCUUGGCUAAAGCUAGGUAACACAAUUCAGCUUAUGAAUGCAAACAUAAAACCUAAACUAUCAAUGAUUGUCGCCAAAGAAAAUGCAGAUAAGCAAAGGUAGAUUCAGAUUUUACUUGAUGUAUUUUUUUGGUGUUUUUGUUUUAGUUGAGAAAUAAAAUGCUAACACAAGCAAACAUCAAUGGCUAGGGAAUUAAAAAGACAUGAACAUAUAUAUAACUCGCUAACAUAUAACAGGGGGAAGAAACAUAAUUAUGUGACGAGAGAAAGAAGCUUCACAUCACCAACAUAUAUGUCAAAGGGACAAAGCUAGCACUGAUCACACAUAACAUGCACUAUAUCUUACAAGUACGAUACUGAACAAAUAUCAGGUUGCAAGAUCUUAUCAAAUCUGAAUAUUACAUGUACUACACGUCUCAAAUUUCAGAAAAUUCAGAGAUUAGAGGGAGAAAGAGAGAUAGGAGCAGCAAGAUUGAGGAGAGAGCAUCAACAAAGGGAGGUUGAGAGAGAGAUUCAGCAAAGGGUGUUGGAGAAGGAGAAGCAGCAGGGGGUGUAGCAAUAGAGAAGCAGCAAGGUGGCGCUAGAGAGAAGAAGAGGCGCAAGGAGAGAGGUUGAGAGCAGCAGCGGCGACAG
RNAcentral lists this long non-coding RNA (5082 nucleotides) under Triticum aestivum (bread wheat). RNAcentral describes it as "long non-coding RNA (TAES_LNC008737)". The stretch from base 3665 to 3768 matches the Rfam family "Plant small nucleolar RNA R71". The record is from RNAcentral. Lineage: Eukaryota; Viridiplantae; Streptophyta; Magnoliopsida; Poales; Poaceae.